GGGCGAUUAACUCAGCUGGUAGAGUGUCUCGUUUACACCGAGGUUGUCGUAGGUUCGAGUCCUGCAUCGCCCACCA
RNAcentral lists this transfer RNA (76 nucleotides) under bacterium. Its description in RNAcentral is "tRNA-Val". It matches the Rfam family "tRNA". Rfam says of the family: Transfer RNA (tRNA) molecules are approximately 80 nucleotides in length. Their secondary structure includes four short double-helical elements and three loops (D, anti-codon, and T loops). The record is from RNAcentral.